GGACAAACUGGACAAUCAAACGAUCAAUGUGGUUGCACAUAGGAAGACAGCUGUUCUACAAGGCCUGCCUUUCUUUAUGAGAGAGACUCCGGAUUCUUUCUUCAAGUCUUGCCUGGAUACUGAUGUUGAUGUGGAAGAUUCACAACUCCAAGGGGAACAACAUUGGAAUCUUAUCGGUCAUCGAGGAUGACGUGGCCAGAGCUGACAGCAUCGCAAAUGUGAGAUGCCUUUCUAUAAUUUUGGAGGAUCAUGUCCUUGAUGAUCUCCCUGACCUUCAGACCGCCAUGGCAUUGCUCUUUGGACUUUUAUAUGUGUUGAACAUGAAAUAUCCCGAGAACCUCAAAUACACUUUCGAAACCCUCCAGAAGGUGUUCGUGCAUCUGGACACAAACCUUUCUGCAAGUCCUCUCCUUCAGGAACAAAAUGCUGAGGU
Long non-coding RNA from Alosa sapidissima (American shad), 433 nucleotides. RefSeq lists it as uncharacterized. The record is from RefSeq and is a predicted model, not a curated record. The transcript is spliced from 3 exons. NCBI's taxonomy places the organism in Eukaryota, Metazoa, Chordata, Actinopteri, Clupeiformes, Clupeidae.